UAAUAGCGUAUACUUAAGUUGUUGCAGUUAAAAAGCUCGUAGUCGGAUGUCGGGCUUGGGCAGGCUGUCGGCUUUUGUCGGACGGCAGGCUCGGGCCUUUCUGCCUGGGGACCGCGUCACACUUCACUGUGGGGCGUCGGGACGCAGGCCGUUUACUUUGAAAAAAUUAGAGUGUUCAAAGCAGGACUACGCUUGAAUACAUUAGCAUGGAAUAAUGGAAUAGGACUUUGGUGCCAUUCUGUUGGUUUAUGGAACCGAAGUAAUGAUUAAUAGGGACAGUUGGGGCCGUUUAUAUUUCGUUGUCAGAGGUGAAAUUCUUGGAUUUACGAAAGAUAAACUUCUGCGAAAGCAUUCGGCAAGGAUGUUUUCAUUGA
RNAcentral lists this ribosomal RNA (374 nucleotides) under uncultured eukaryote. RNAcentral describes it as "partial 18S ribosomal RNA". It matches the Rfam family "Eukaryotic small subunit ribosomal RNA", at positions 592 to 976 of the family's 1831-position model. The record is from RNAcentral.